UCGUAGUUGCUCGAAAACCUCUCUUACCUGCGCCGUGCGCUCGGUUUUAUCCUUCGACACGUUUCCGAUCGGUCUCGUUGUCGCGUGCCCUGUCCGUAUCUACCGCGCGAACCCUGACCUUCCGCCAUUUUGGUCGCGCCGCCGCUUCCGGCUCGUCGCUAAACCCUCGGCCGCCGUUCUUACCGAUCGAGCGAUAUCGCGGCCCCCAAUCGAUCGAACUUCGCCGGGAAACAUGUUCGAAAACGCGCGGUCUGCGCGCUUCUACGUCGAUCCUCGUUCGCGCCAGUAACGCGAUGUUUUGAUCUAUUCCCGAUCCUCCUUUCGGAGGAUAUCGCGAUAAUCCACGACACUCGUCGAUAGCAAACAGAUCGAAAAAUCAAAUUGCAAUCGUUGGAGGAUCGUUGCUGAAAAUUUGUACUCUGGCAAAAGUCUGGAUAAAAUUGCAAAGAUCGAAAGACUCUCGUUGUGCGUGUAUGUGUGAUUGUUGUUAACAGAAGUCGAGAAGUGUGUUUCUGGGGGGUUGUUUGGUGUUUAGGAGGGUGGUUGAUACUGCGACGAAGUGAGUAGAGACAUGAAUCGUGCUUGCAGAGUGGAAUAGGAUUUCUAAGGGAUUCUUCUUCGUAAGAGAAGAGAACUAUCGGUUGCGAAGACUCGGCGAUUGUUCGAAAAUUCCGCACAACUUUCCUACGCGUGUAAAAUUGUUGAAUAAAACAAUUUGCGGAAUAAAUAACAGGAAGGAACGGUACAAGAAUCUUAGAAAGUUUCUUACUUUCAACAAAGCUAACAAAGUACUUUUAAAAGAGUCUUUCUAUAUUAUCUGCAAACAUUAAAAAAUCUUCACGGUCAAUCGUUAAGUUAUCAGAGAAGAACAGAUACAGUCGAAGAACCAAUAGGAAGCAAAUCCAAUUACGAUACCUUUGUACAAUUAAGAAACAAUUGCGCUUAAUGCAACGAGACAAAUGUUCCAUCGAUCAUAAUACGUCUUUGCCUCCAAUCAAGGAGUACCAAGCACUUUCUAGGAAGACCCAGUAGCCGAUUCAACGCCGCAGAGUCCAACUUGGACAUCUAGAAGUUGGAUGGCCAAGUUUGGACGCCUCGACGAAUCCGUUUCCAGUUGAAGCAGCCUCGAAAGCGUAAUUCCAACGACUAUUGACUAGUCUAUCGUUUCACGACGGCAGUAUCGUCACGAAUCUCGUGCACAAAGACCUAACCGCGAGAAAAUCGAUCGGAAAUUCAAAUAGCUGAUCAUUGUUCGACGAGAUCUGGCUCUAAAUAAAUUGCAAGCUUUCGAUCGGGUAUCUGUUCGUUAAGACUCGUGCAACGAAGGGAGUCGUCGAAAGGACUGAUCAACAGGUUGCUGAUCUAGAUAGAGCUACACCACGGGAUUGUUGGUUAACUUCCUCUCAAGAGGAAGUCCAAGGAACUCGAGAUCGAGAGUUCUAUCUUCUGGCACGAGAGUUCCUCGUCUCUUGCUGUCCGAUCGAGAAGAAAACGAGGCCUAGUACCACAGAGGGAUUAGAUUGGCAAGUUGCCGGGUGAUAAUCCGAGUAUUGCGGGUUCUAAGGAUGGAAAUUUGGCGGAGACGAAGUUUGGACGAACACGUGCAGUGAAAGGUUAACUCGUUCGUCGUGAAGUUUCACAGUGCACCGUAGGAAGGAAUUUUAGCGUGAUUGAUCGGUAAUUAUUUCUUUUGUCGUAGCGAGGACGAAUAAAGUGUCUUAAACUGGAGAUUAGGAGAUUUUAGCACGAACGAUCGAUAACUCUUUUCUCCGCGAGAAUCUAAGUGUUUUGUACUAUUGAAAAAUUAAAGAAAUGUUCUGAAUGAAAAAUAGCUUCGGAUUAGGCGAUAACUUUUUUUUCCUUUGAGGACGAGCAAAGUGUCUUGGUCUUGGGAUUAGGAAAUCGAGAUCGAGAAACGUUCUAAAUGAAAAGUAAAUUAAUCGAUAAUAGUUCGAUGAUUCAUAAGGUGAUUUUUCUUCGUUUUUCCUUUUUUUUUAUCGUAGAGAUACGACGAUCAUUAGAGUAGAAAAGAAAGAAUUAGGUUAGCGAGGGAAUUGAGAUAACCAGGCGAGAAAACCGGUUUGAAAAGUGUCGUAUCGAGGAUCGUAGCGUAAAAUCGUGGAAUAAAUCACCGGCUUAGUUUGUUCAAAGCCUAUUCAGACGCAACCUGAUAAUAAGCCGUAUUGACAUUUCGAAGAUAACGAAUAAUAUAUCGUUGACACGAUAAAGAGGAGUCGAUUUGUAGAAAAAUAUAACAACAACGGAUUCGAUUUAAAGUUCCGGGAUUGAAUGAAAUCUUCAUGAACCGAUAGAGAAUCGCCGUCUCGAUGUAAUAUUGAUUGUUUUUUUAAAUCAGAAAUCCUUAUUUCAGUGAUCGUGCUUCUAUGAAACGUUCCUUUUCUUCGGAUCAUUUUAUUCAAUGGACAUCGUACAGCACGAGGCGAAGCUUUUCACAAUGGAAAUAAGAUUCCAAUCGCAACAUUGUUAGUAGAAACAUAUUUCUUCCAUUAAUCAAAGAUCGAAUCAAAAGAGGAGUUCGUUGAUCAAAAGUGUAAUAAAAUCGAGUGAAAUAUCGUAUCGGGAAGUUAAACCGCGAUCGCGAAACUUCCACUUCAAUCGAGUCUAACGAACUCGAACAACUUCUGGAAUUAAGGGCUGCAACAUCGUUGAAGAUUAAACUCAAAGGCCACGAAUUUAUUGUUCCCAAGGAAUACCACGAGCUUUCUCGUAAAAUAAGAAACUCGAGAUUAUUGAAGAUAAUAAAGGAAGGAAUUUUAAGACUUCGUAAAAGUAUACUCCGUUGUAAUCAGGAUUAAAUACAGCUUAUACAUACUUUCUACCCGCGUAGAAUUAUUGCAAUCAAUUAUAAAUUUUUCUAAUUUGAUAACUCACUUUUCCCAGCGAAGCAUUCUCGUUAAUUUGUAUAAUAUUCUCGUUGUUUGUGCAAACAAAUUUUUCGAAAUAGAAUUUCCAAAUUUUCAGAAGUUAUUUAUUUAAUUAUUACUUUUCGAAGCAAAAGAGUUUCUGUAAUUAAAAGUAACUAAUAAUUAAAAUUAAAAUUUCACUGAAAGCCAGUGUGCGUACAGGUCAUUGAUUUCAGCGUAAGACAAUUAUACUAAAUUACGAUGCAAGGGUAGCUUGCAAAGAUUAGAAAUUUUUCAUGUUCGUGGUAGAAGAAAGAAAAAAGAAAGUAGAAGGUGAAGAAAGAUCAAAGAUUUAAUAGAUCGACGAAAGAGAGACAGAAAAGUGUAAAAGUUCAGAGAACUUUGUUAACGCUACAACGGUGAAUUACGAAAGCUUCCUAGUACUUUGCAAAAGCUGGGUAAGCAAGUUGAGGAGGUUUACGGAACUUCACGAAAGGUACAGAAGCGUGCUAACGAUUCUCAGAGAAUUUCACAAAAGCUAUAGAGAUAAGUUAAGGAAGCUUACUGUAAUCUGUAAAAGAUUAAGGGAGCGAGCAAGAAAAGUAUGCAGUAUUUUGUCGUAAAAUGUUUCAAAGGUUACGGAAGUAAAUCAUAGUACUCUACAAAAGCUCCAAAAGUAAAUUAAGAAAGUCUCAAAACAUACGAAAAUCUAUAAAAGUGUAUUAGAAACUGCUAGAGAAUUACGUUUAAGUCGAAGAAGAAGCAAAUCGAGGAAGCCUACGCUAUUCUGAGAAAGCAACAAGAAAAUCAAAUUAAAGAGAUCACUUUGCAAAAGCUAUAGAAAAUUCUUAUAGAAUAGCAUCAUCUAAGAAAUGUUCGCGAAAGUUUGCAAAAUCUAUUGCUAGGAGUGAACAAUAGAAGCAAGAUUAAAAACCUUCGCACGAUUCUACAAAAUCUAAAAAAGUGAACUAUAAGAGUUCACGAACGUCCGCGUGCACAAUUAUACAAACUUUACGAAACCAACGAACGAAAGCUUACAGCGUUCUACAGAACCUCGCUAGAACCAACCUAUAAGAAGCUUGCAAAUUGUAUAGAAGCUUCAUAAGCAAAAAAGGCGAUAGAACAGUAGAGAAAUUGAGUAUCGAAUCGCGUUAAAAGAUCGAUCUAGCACCCUGACCCAACGUAAUAAUCUUCUUGACCAACUAAAAGCAAGGUGUUUAACUACGAUCGAAUGUGAGUGUUCUGUGUGAGUUCCUAGAACCCAACCAUAAGAAGCUUGCAAACCUUAGAGAAGCAGGAAAACCAAUAACAGAACACCGCUGAAACUGGCUAUCGAUCCACGUUAAAAAAGGUCAAUCUGCCAACCAAAUCCAAGGAAAUAAUCUACUUAAUUAAUUAGAAACAAAGCGUUUGGCUAUAAUCGAAAGUGAGUGCCCUGACCCUGCAACCGACUGAGAACUUUCGUCGAUUGUCUUGCCGAAGAUCUACCGGUCGCGUGAUUCAUCGAGGCCACCGGUUGAGCAGGUCAGGGACGCGAGUUCUGCGGCUUCAGGCCGGUGCACAUCCAACCUGGAUUUCUACACGAUUUAACGCGCGUCGGGCUUCGGGGACGCUGUGAGCGUGUCGGCGUGCAGACGGCCCGGCAUUAUCUCUGCAACGCGACGAUAAAGUUCCGCACGAGGGACACGAUAAAAGCACGCGGGUUCUGCUUGAUUAAUCGCGCGUCUCUAUUCACCGAUUCUGUUCUCGUUAGGACAAUCCGUGCUGGACCGAGCGCAACGAAAUACAGCGAGGACGUUGCUCGGGGUUGGAAAGUGAGAAUAAUAAAUACAGGAGGUGAAUCUUCCGAUGGCAGGUGAAUUGUGAAGUGAAACGUGGAAUUGGAGGAAGUGGGAAGCAGUUGGGAUUGGAGAAACUGCAAAGUGAGAAGAGCAGAGACGUGUCCACGAAGAGCCGGUGAAAUACAACACAAACUACACUACGAAUCUUCUAACGGUACCUCCAACAGCAAACGUUAACGCAAAUCCUACAAACAAACACGAGUCAAACUCGAACGAAAUUCCAGGGAAAGCGAAGAAGCGUCCACCAAGGGGCGGUCGAUUGCAAACAAUUUCGCAACAGCAACGACGCGACAAAUUACCGUACGGUCGAGGAGGGAAAAAAAAACACGAGGAAAUUAGUCCCGUUCGGAGAAUGUGUACGGUGUUGUCGCGUACGAGCUGCGAUGCCCGAGAGGGUAGCUGGAGGGGGUGGUCGUGGCGAAAAAAGGGGCGCAGUCGCGGCGAACGGCCACCCCCGCGGACACGCUUGCUCGCGCGGCAGCUUGGUAGUCUCGGUCAGUCGUUGGCGGCCGAAAGUCGUGCGAAACAGGAAACCGAUGGAGGGAAGAGAGGCAGAGAUGGAGUGAAGACAGAUCGAACGAUUUACUCGAGAAACGGUUCACGACAUCGACAAGCACGUGCUCCGAGCGUAAAAUAAGAAGAAAGAGAAAGGGAAAUAUGUUGCACAAGCAUGGACGGAGGAAAAGCGGAGGAGGAAACGAAGAUCAAGGACAUCGGAAAGGUUCUGGCGGGUCUUGGCACUGGAAGAAUUCACAGAUGUGCAGUGUAUAAUCGUGGAUCUUGCAAUGCCAUCACUUGCUGGAUACCGAUUCAUCGUGGACCAUCGAUCAUACUGAUAAUAAUUUAUAAUUAUUUUCGAAAUCGUUCGCAUCUUUGGCAAAUGUUUCUUCUUUUCAGAGAAAGGACAACUUAACUAGUUAAACGAAAAAGACGAAUUAUAUUGUUAUUUGGACUGGCCUAUUCGAAUCGUUAUUUGGAUUAUUUACUUUCGAUACAAUCAGUUUUCUAUUUAACUUUGCUAUUUUUUCUCGAUAAUUUUCGAUAGUCAAAUUCCUCUUGUUUGUUCAUAAGAUGAAAGUAAGAUCGAAAUAUAAAUGUUCGAAAAUUGCAGCAGAGUUAACUUCACGUUAUCAGGAUCUAACAUUUUCAGUGGUAUCAACCUGGGAAAAUAAAUUACAUCAUAUUGCGGGAACCGAGAUCGACUUAAUGGAGAUUCAUUCGUCUUUGUUAACUUUUAAUUUCGUGGGUACAGAAGUCUGUAAAAUGAUCUAUAACGAGGAACCCCAAUUAACAGAUUUCGAUGGCGAACCACUGUUGAAUUCUUCGAUUUUUUAGUAUAUUAAUGUCUUAAAUAUAUAUAAAGUGAAUGGUUCCUUUUAAUAAAAUUUUCUAUUAAUUCUGAAUGGCAUUACAAAUGUAUAAUAAUUUAUAACACCCUUUAUUUUCAUUUUCAAACAAUUACAAAGCUCUACCAUCUCAGUUCAAUCAAAUUUCAAAUGCAUUAGCAAACUCUAAA
Molecule: long non-coding RNA, 6221 nt
Organism: Bombus terrestris (buff-tailed bumblebee)
Lineage: Eukaryota; Metazoa; Arthropoda; Insecta; Hymenoptera; Apidae
Exons: 4
Source: RefSeq, a predicted model, not a curated record